Molecule: unclassified non-coding RNA, 347 nt
Filed under: Nocardia nova
Lineage: Bacteria; Bacillati; Actinomycetota; Actinomycetes; Mycobacteriales; Nocardiaceae
Description: 16S-23S ribosomal RNA intergenic spacer
Source: RNAcentral
CUAAGGAGCACUUCUCCAGGUGGUAUCUCGAACAGUCGAGAUCGCCUCUGGCAGAGACAGUUUCGGGCUCACAUGUAGUCCGGCUGGAGCUCAUGGGUGGAACGCUGACAACCUCUCCCGCGUAUCGGCCGGUACUCAGUGACCGGCCGGCGGUUGAUAUAUCGACACACUGUUGGGUCCUGAAAGAACAGACGUUCUUUCCAGGCAAAAAAUACGAUCCGCCCGGAUCUCUUGUGAAACCAGCCUCGUGGAGGUCGCGGUCCUUGAAUUCGAUUCGGUGCGGGUGUGUUGUUUGAGAACUGCACAGUGACGCGAGCAUCUUUGUUAGUAAGUGUGUAAGAGCGUAC